Molecule: long non-coding RNA, 643 nt
Organism: Carya illinoinensis
Lineage: Eukaryota; Viridiplantae; Streptophyta; Magnoliopsida; Fagales; Juglandaceae
Exons: 2
Source: RefSeq, a predicted model, not a curated record
CUCUCUCUCUCUCUCUCUCUCUCUCUCUCUCUCGCUCUCUCUCUCUCUCUCUUUCUCUCAAGAUAUCUAUUCACACACAUAGGUGUAUAUAUAUUCCUCAUGUCUGUCUAUCUUGAAGCUAGCUUUGCAUAUUAAGUUGGGGGAUUCUCUCUCUCUCUCAAAAAAGAUAAUAUAACAUAUGGCUUCCCAAGGCAGCCUUAGUACUAACGUUUCCAAGACUCCGAAAAGUGGCAGAUCAGGUGGAGAAGGCGCCGUCGACGUGGCAUCAACAAGUUCACCGAAAGGAGGCCAAUGCCUGUGUUCACCAACGACGCACCAAGGGUCGUUCCGUUGCAGGUUUCAUCGGUCAUCGGCUAAAAUGAUGAAGCGAUCAAUCUCCAUGCCUGCCGAUACCUCUGCAGCCGCUGCCCUCUCUCCCAACUCUGUCGGGUCUACGUAAUGCAUGCUAGCUGAUCUACAUAUGCUUUCAAACCAAUUGUCUUAUAUAUAUCGCUCCUUCAAACUCCAUCUAGAACUCAAGUUCUGAUAUAUAUUUGGGAUUCUGUCUGCUUGUGAUUCAUUUAUGUGCAGCUCUUCAAAAGUCACACAUAAACACACACAGCAUGUUGUUGGAUGAUCUAUAAUAUUAUUGUUGUUUGGUAAA